GUCUCGAUGGUCUAAAGGCUUAGGACGCUCGCACGGAAUGCAAGAGAUCCGGGUUCGACUCUCGGCCGAGGCA
RNAcentral lists this transfer RNA (73 nucleotides) under Trachymyrmex cornetzi. It matches the Rfam family "tRNA". Rfam says of the family: Transfer RNA (tRNA) molecules are approximately 80 nucleotides in length. Their secondary structure includes four short double-helical elements and three loops (D, anti-codon, and T loops). The record is from Rfam by way of RNAcentral. Lineage: Eukaryota; Metazoa; Arthropoda; Insecta; Hymenoptera; Formicidae.